Long non-coding RNA from Gasterosteus aculeatus aculeatus (three-spined stickleback), 414 nucleotides. The record is from Ensembl. NCBI's taxonomy places the organism in Eukaryota, Metazoa, Chordata, Actinopteri, Perciformes, Gasterosteidae.
GGGAGGGAUCCGUGCACGGAGACAGAGACAGACGAUCAUGGACAGCAAACUACGCAGAUGUUAACGUAGGACCAAAGGCUGAGAGCUCAUCGAUGGACAAAUGGUUGCUGAAGAACCCUCAAUCUUUCUGCAUAUGUAAUGGGGACAGGAGUCACAGAAACCAGGACAGCCCUCUCACGAAAUGAGUACUUUUCAGGCAGUCAAGGACCCAGAAAAAGGCAAAUCGCUACUAGUGAAUCACAGGAUGUAGUUUCCUAACUAAAGUGGGAGAGACUUUCUGGGGUUGUUUGAUUUUUGUGUAAAAAACGAAACAUGCUCAUGCAAUCAUAACGGAAAUCUUAAAAAUAGGUUGUUUCUUCAUCAUUUUGUCCUUUUGACCCAUGUUGCUCCUACUUGACUCCUUCAGAACAUGCU